RNAcentral lists this ribosomal RNA (589 nucleotides) under uncultured bacterium. Its description in RNAcentral is "bacterial SSU rRNA". The stretch from base 1 to 520 matches the Rfam family "Bacterial small subunit ribosomal RNA", at positions 338 to 873 of the family's 1533-position model. The record is from RNAcentral.
CCUACGGGAGGCAGCAGUGGGGAAUUUUCCGCAAUGGGCGAAAGCCUGACGGAGCAAUACCGCGUGAGGGAUGAAAGCCUGUGGGUUGUAAACCUCUUUUCUCAAGGAAGAAGUUCUGACGGUACUUGAGGAAUAAGCAUCGGCUAACUCUGUGCCAGCAGCCGCGGUAAUACAGAGGAUGCAAGCGUUAUCCGGAAUCACUGGGCAUAAAGCGUCUGUAGGUUGCCUACCAAGUCUGCUGUUAAAGAUCGGGGCCUAACCCUGAGAAAGCAGUGGAAACUAGUAGGCUUGAGUGUGGUAGAGGUAGAGGGAAUUCCUGGUGUAGCGGUGAAAUGCGUAGAUAUUAGGAAGAACACCAACGGCGAAAGCACUCUACUGGGCCAUAACUGACACUGAGAGACGACAGCUAGGGGAGCAAAUGGGAUUAGAUACCCCAGUAGUCCUAGCCGUAAACGAUGGAUACUAGGUGUUGCACGUAUUAACCCGUGCAGUAUCGUAGCUAAGGCGUUAAGUNUCCGCCUGGAGUACGCUCGNAGAGAGAACNAAGUAGAGUCGACGNGNGAGAGNGCGACGACGACGACGAGGAGAG